This 626-nucleotide ribosomal RNA is filed under the name fungal endophyte. RNAcentral describes it as "eukaryotic LSU rRNA". The stretch from base 212 to 365 matches the Rfam family "5.8S ribosomal RNA". Lineage: Eukaryota; Fungi. The record is from RNAcentral.
UGCGGAAGGAUCAUUAAUGAAUUUUAUGGCGGAAUUGUAGCUGGCCCCAACCGGGCAUGUGCACAUUCUGUUCAUUCCAUUCUCAUACACCUCUGUGCACUUUACAUAGGUUUGGUAUAGAAAAGGUCUUUAUUGACUUUGGAAAUACUGACCUAUGCUUUUAUAAACGCUUCAGUUUUAGAAUGUCAUCCGCGUAUAACGCAAUAAAUACAACUUUCAGCAACGGAUCUCUUGGCUCUCGCAUCGAUGAAGAACGCAGCGAAAUGCGAUAAGUAAUGUGAAUUGCAGAAUUCAGUGAAUCAUCGAAUCUUUGAACGCAUCUUGCGCCCUUUGGUAUUCCGAAGGGCAUGCCUGUUUGAGUGUCAUGGUAUUCUCAAUACCCCAAAUCUUUGCGGAUAAGGGUGUGUUGGACUUGGAGGUUUUUGCAGGUAAUGAUUGUAUUACCAGCUCCUCUUAAAUGCAUUAGCAGAGAUAAUACUGCUACUCUCCAGUGUGAUAAUUGUCUACACUGUUAGUAGUGCGGUAUAACAAAAUGUCUAUGCUUCUAAUCGUCUUCGGACAACUUUUGACAAUCUGACCUCAAAUCAGGUAGGACUACCCGCUGAACUUAAGCAUAUCAAUAAGCG